GACGAACCGUGCGAACGUUAUUCGGAAUCACUGGGCUUAAAGCGCGUGUAGGCGGGCCGGCACGUCGGGUGCUGAAAGCCCCCGGCUCAACCGGGGAAGCGGCCUCGAUACGACCGGCCUGGAGGGGGGUAGGGGGAGCCGGAACUUCCGGUGGAGCGGUGAAAUGCGUUGAGAUCGGAAGGAACGCCCGUGGCGAAAGCGGGCUCCUGGACCCCACCUGACGCUGAGACGCGAAAGCCAGGGGAGCGAACGGGAUUAGAUACCCCGGUAGUCCUGGCCGUAAACCAUGGGCACUGGGUAGGGGAUUCGCCGAUGGAUUCCCUGCCGCAGCGAAAGCGUGAAGUGCCCCGCCUGGGGAGUAUGGUCGCAAGGCUGAA
This 377-nucleotide ribosomal RNA is filed under the name uncultured bacterium. Its description in RNAcentral is "bacterial SSU rRNA". It matches the Rfam family "Bacterial small subunit ribosomal RNA", at positions 524 to 898 of the family's 1533-position model. The record is from RNAcentral.